This 570-nucleotide ribosomal RNA is filed under the name uncultured Actinomycetes bacterium. RNAcentral describes it as "bacterial SSU rRNA". It matches the Rfam family "Bacterial small subunit ribosomal RNA", at positions 382 to 947 of the family's 1533-position model. Lineage: Bacteria; Bacillati; Actinomycetota; Actinomycetes. The record is from RNAcentral.
CGGUACGGAGCAAGACCGCUGGGGGAAGAAGGGCUCUUGGGGUUGUAAAACCCCUUUUCUCUUGGGAAGAAAGUUGUGAAAGCAACCUGACGGUACCAGAGGAAUCAGCAUCGGCUAACUCCGUGCCAGCAGCCGCGGUAACACGUAGGGGGCGAGCGUUGUCCGGAUUUAUUGGGCGUUAAAGAGCUCGUAGGCGGUUCGCUAAGUCGGGUGUGAAACCUCCAGGCUCAACCUGGAGACGCCACCUGAUACUGGUGUGACUAGAGUCCGGUAGGGGAGUGUGGAACUCCUGGUGUAGCGGUGAAAUGCGCAGAUAUCAGGAAGAACACCAGCGGCGAAGGCGGCACUCUGGGCCGGUACUGACGCUGAGGAGCGAAAGCGUGGGUAGCAAACAGGAUUAGAUACCCUGGUAGUCCACGCCGUAAACGUUGGGCACUAGGUGUGGGUCUCAACCAACGAGAUCCGUGCCGCAGCUAACGCAUUAAGUGCCCCGCCUGGGGAGUACGGCCGCAAGGCUAAAACUCAAAGGAAUUGACGGGGGGCCCGCACAAGCGGCAGUCGACGCGGCCG